GGCGAACGCUGGCGGCGUGCUUAACACAUGCAAGUCGAACGGAAAGGCCCCUUUGGGGGUACUCGAUUGGCUAACGGGUGUGUAACACGUGAGUAACCUGCCCUUGACUUCGUGUUAACUUCAGGCAACUGGGUCUAAUACCUGAUAGGAAUCCUUUCUGCCUGGUUGGUGUUGGUAAGCUUCGGCGGUUUUGGAUGGACUCGCGGCUUAUCAGCUUGUUGGUUGGGUAGUGGCUUACCAAGGCUUUGACUGGUAGCCGGCCUGAGAGGGCGACCGGCCACAUUGGGAAUGAGAUACGGCACAGACUCCUACGGGAGGAAGAAGUGGGGAAUAUUGCAAAAUGGGCGGAAGCCUGAUGCAGAAAAGCCGCGGGCGGGAUGAAGGGCUUAGGGUUGUAAAACGCUUUCAGCAGGGGAGAAGCUGGUGGUGACGGUACCUGCAGAAGAAGCACCGGCUAACUACGUG
RNAcentral lists this ribosomal RNA (465 nucleotides) under uncultured bacterium. Its description in RNAcentral is "partial 16S ribosomal RNA". It matches the Rfam family "Bacterial small subunit ribosomal RNA", at positions 28 to 507 of the family's 1533-position model. The record is from RNAcentral.